AUGGGAACAGACCUGCUGAUACGGCCUGGCUGGGGCAGCCUAGCGAUUUCCUCCGAGAAGGCCAUGCCACACCGUGCGGAAUCAGAAGAGCGGUUUGAUAGUAGGCCGCACGAGAUUAUGGACGGGAUGCAGCCAUGCAGGCCUGUAGCAAUGCUACAUGGGCCAAAUGUACAACAGACCCACACAAAAGAAAAAAAAAACUACGUAAACUUGGGCUGUUGAAGAAUCGAACACCAAACCUCACUUUGGAAACCCAAUACAUGACCAC
RNAcentral lists this long non-coding RNA (268 nucleotides) under Brachypodium distachyon (stiff brome). RNAcentral's name for it is "long non-coding RNA (BDIS_LNC005225)". Lineage: Eukaryota; Viridiplantae; Streptophyta; Magnoliopsida; Poales; Poaceae. The record is from RNAcentral.